This 24-nucleotide non-coding RNA is filed under the name Arabidopsis thaliana (thale cress). The record is from RNAcentral. Lineage: Eukaryota; Viridiplantae; Streptophyta; Magnoliopsida; Brassicales; Brassicaceae. RNAcentral also lists the same sequence under 1 other name.
CAAAGUGAAGAAAUUCAACCAAGC